This is a long non-coding RNA of Terrapene triunguis (Three-toed box turtle), 857 nucleotides long. RefSeq lists it as uncharacterized. NCBI's taxonomy places the organism in Eukaryota, Metazoa, Chordata, Testudines, Emydidae. The record is from RefSeq and is a predicted model, not a curated record. The transcript is spliced from 3 exons.
CGGGCGGAUGGCGGCUGCGCUAGAGAAACUCACAAAGGAAGCAGACAGCUUGGCAGAAUACCAGAAACUAAUGAAAAAGCAUGAUAUUGCUUUGACCCAGUUAAACAAGAGUUUUGACCAGGUUCAAUCAAGACUGGAACGGAUAGCAGCUGUGAAGCCAAGUAAUGAAUUUUUGAGCCAGUAGCAGAGAAUGACCUGAGUUUUUCAUAUGUACUGCACUCCUGUGUACUACACAAAGCAGUUGUAGAACACAAGUGUACAAGAAACAUCAGGACAGUUCAUGUCUGAGUAGAAAGUGGGCAAAAAGUAACUAUUUACAAAAGCAGCAUGUAUAUUACAUUCAUUGGGAUGAUUUUCAGAAUUUAAUUUUUCAUCGUGUUCAUGCCCAUGAAGUCAUGCCCUUACCAAGACUGAAAGCUCAUUUUAAUAACUGUUGGAAUUUAAUGCUAGAUACUGAAGUAGACAGAAACAAAAAACUUAACAUUUCAAAUACCCUGAUAUUCCAUUAGAGGGCAGUAAUACCCAAUGUUACAAUACAUUACAAAUCUUUCUAAAGACAUUGCAGUUACAGUAGAUAGAUUGUGAAACACAUGCAGUGUAAAAGGUCAGUGAAAGCUUUUCUAUAGAACAAUUUUUUCCUGGAUAGAGUCUCACCCUGAUGGUUACAGAAAAAACAAAGUAUCAUCAACAACAACAACAAAAAACCUGAGUUAGUUCUCUUCCCCCCCCCCCAAAAUCAGAUUGCACAGAAUUACUGAAUUCUUUUUUUACUGCCAAUUUGUGAGUAUUCUGAUUAUUUUUGAGUUGGUUCUCUUGUACAGAGAGUACUUGUCACCCUAAUAAACAGUGUGGUUUAA